RNAcentral lists this ribosomal RNA (525 nucleotides) under uncultured bacterium. RNAcentral describes it as "bacterial SSU rRNA". It matches the Rfam family "Bacterial small subunit ribosomal RNA", at positions 50 to 564 of the family's 1533-position model. The record is from RNAcentral.
AACACAUGCAAGUCGAACGGCAGCACAGAGGAGCUUGCUCCUUGGGUGGCGAGUGGCGGACGGGUGAGGAAUACGUCGGAAUCUGCCUAUUUGUGGGGGAUAACGUAGGGAAACUUACGCUAAUACCGCAUACGACCUACGGGUGAAAGUGGGGGACCGCAAGGCCUCACGCAGAUAGAUGAGCCGACGUCGGAUUAGCUAGUUGGCGGGGUAAAGGCCCACCAAGGCGACGAUCCGUAGCUGGUCUGAGAGGAUGAUCAGCCACACUGGAACUGAGACACGGUCCAGACUCCUACGGGAGGCAGCAGUGGGGAAUAUUGGACAAUGGGCGCAAGCCUGAUCCAGCCAUGCCGCGUGUGUGAAGAAGGCCUUCGGGUUGUAAAGCACUUUUGUCCGGAAAGAAAAGCUUAGGGUUAAUAACCCUGAGUCAUGACGGUACCGGAAGAAUAAGCACCGGCUAACUUCGUGCCAGCAGCCGCGGUAAUACGAAGGGUGCAAGCGUUACUCGGAAUUACUGGGCGUAAA